GACGAACGCUGGCGGCGUGCUUAACACAUGCAAGUCGAACGGAAAGGCCCUGCUUUUGUGGGGUGCUCGAGUGGCGAACGGGUGAGUAACACGUGAGUAACCUGCCCUUGACUUUGGGAUAACUUCAGGAAACUGGGGCUAAUACCGGAUAGGAGCUCCUGCUGCAUGGUGGGGGUUGGAAAGUUUCGGCGGUAGGGGAUGGACUCGCGGCUUAUCAGCUUGUUGGUGGGGUAGUGGCUUACCAAGGCCUUGACGGGUAGCCGGCCUGAGUGGGUGACCGGCCACAUUGGGACUGAGAGACGGCCCAGACUCCUACGGGAGGCAGCAGUGGGGAAUAUUGCACAAUGGGCGGAAGCCUGAUGCAGCAACGCCGCGUGCGGGAUGACGGCCUUCGGGUUGUAAACCGCUUUCGCCUGUGACGAAGCGUGAGUGACGGUAAUGGGUAAAGAAGCACCGGCUAACUACGUG
This 468-nucleotide ribosomal RNA is filed under the name uncultured bacterium. RNAcentral's name for it is "partial 16S ribosomal RNA". It matches the Rfam family "Bacterial small subunit ribosomal RNA", at positions 28 to 507 of the family's 1533-position model. The record is from RNAcentral.